Molecule: RNA transcript, 1180 nt
Organism: Neodiprion fabricii
Lineage: Eukaryota; Metazoa; Arthropoda; Insecta; Hymenoptera; Diprionidae
Exons: 2
Source: RefSeq, a predicted model, not a curated record
UCUUUCAGCCGUAUAUAGCAGCAUAGGCCAGGGCGCGAAGUGGAAAACCUUACAAGCCGAUUUCCACUAAAAGGAUCCGCUCGAUCUCGCUUGAGGAAAAAUAUUUGCUCAGGCGCUUUAUAGUGCGGGUCUAUUAUUGAGUAGGUGGGCAUAAAGCUCGAGGAUUUGCUGGCACAGGUUGAAUAGGACGAAGAGAGCUGAGGGUUCUUCGAUGUAAAACAAUAAUUUGCGUCUCGCGUUAUUGCGAGUCAAUAUUGUGCUUCGGUUCUUGAGGAGUGCGUCUAGUCUGCGAAGGCAGUGGUCGGUUCGCCAGGAGCUUAUCUUGGUUGCUGGAGGCUUACGUUUAAUACAAAUUGAUAUAACGUGGCCGGGGCCUUUCGCUACUGUUCGGACCGACGCACAGACCCCAAACUGACAAAUAGAGGAGAACCUGCGAAAGCUUAUGAUCCAUUUAGUUCAAAUGCCUAUGAGCCAGUUUGUUACCACCCUACAGUACACCCGGUCUCGUUUGACCGACAGUUAAUUCACCCCAAAGACAAACGCGCUUUGUGCCAGGGAUGACGGUGAAGAGGAAAAGCUGAUGAUUCUCUCUAACACUACGCCCAGAUGCCCGAGCAUCGCAUCGCCGCUGAAACGGCCCUUCUACGAUUUCACCAUGUUCGGAAAGAUCCGGGUCAUUUGGCCAUCAAGUCGAGACUUCUGGCCGUCAUCGUGCAGAACAAGAAACUUACAUCAUUGUACAGACGCGCAAUGUAGAAAAAAAUGACAAAAUACUAAAAAAUAAAGAAGGUUACUGGGCGGGUGCUGGACGCGGGCAAUCGUCCCGUCCUUAACCGGGUGCUUACCGUCAACGGGUUGGACAAACAUUUUGAUAAAGUACUUAUAACGGGUGCUGACCGGGUGCUUGUUGAGCAAUUAUUUCAUUAAACUUUCUAGCCGAAUGCCAGCCGAGAGCUGAUUGGGCAUUAUUUUACUCGAAGCCUAUAGGCUUGGAAUUUUGAUAAAUCAGCAUUAAUUAAUAUUAAUUCAAUAUUCACGGGAUCAUCCCAGUGUAACGGGUCGAAAAAUAGCUGAUUUUCACGAUCUUUUCUUUCAUGUUUAAAAUACGCUAACCAGUCUGAUUUUUUUGUAUCUCUAAUUUUUUUCAGACCCCCACCAUUUUGUCAAUUUUAAUUAAAAA